GAGAUGUGGGGCGUCUUCCACCAAGAGAUUCUGACUAUGAUCCUUACUACAUCAAAGGGGUGUCUGACUUUUUAGAAUCUGCAAGGCCUGUGUCCGGAGGAUUAACAUCGCAUCCUGGAUUCAUUGGUGGAGCUCCGGAAAAAAUGCUUCCUCCGGAUGCCUCAAACACAUUGUUUGUUGAGGGCCUACCUCCUAACUGUACUCGUCGAGAAGUUUCCCAUAUCUUUCGUCCUUUUGUAGGUUUCAAAGAGGUCAGACUUGUGAACAAGGAAUCUAAACGUGCUGGAGGUGACCCCCUUGUUCUAUGCUUCGUUGAUUUUUCAUCAUCUGGUCACGCGGCAGUUGCCCUUGAUGCUUUGCAAGGUUAUAAAUUUGAUGAGGAAGAAGGCAACAAUCUGAGGCUGCAGUUCGCUCGUUUUCCUGGUGCAUCGCGGUCAGGUGGGGGACCGCGAAGCAAGCGCUGAUUUGCAAUGUACUCUUGGGUGUGCCGUGGCAAGACUAUCCAUUUUGACAACAUUGUGCUAAGUUUUAUUGUCUAUCAUCCACCUUGUAGUCUUGACCAUGUUUGAUAACCUAGUGCCUAGCAGUAGGCUUGCUAUUCGUGUC
This 606-nucleotide unclassified non-coding RNA is filed under the name Hevea brasiliensis (rubber tree). Lineage: Eukaryota; Viridiplantae; Streptophyta; Magnoliopsida; Malpighiales; Euphorbiaceae. The record is from RNAcentral.